UCAUUUAGAGGAAGGAGAAGUCGUAACAAGGUUUCCGUAGGUGAACCUGCGGAAGGAUCAUUGCCGUCUCUAGAACCACCACCGGCGAACCAGUCCCGCGGAAACGCCGCUCGCGGCGCGCGGCCCCAGGGACGACCCGGGGGCGCGCGGCCCGACGAGCCCCGAACAACAACCCUCUGGGCGCGGCGAGCGCCAAGGAAUCGAAGCGGAAAGGGCGGCCGCCUCACCCGGUGCGAGCGCGCCCCGGCCGGGGACGCAGCACCGCCGUGGGGAUCCGCCGCCCGUCUGUGAAUCCUGUAGACGACUCUCGGCAACGGAUAUCUCGGCUCUCGCAUCGAUGAAGAACGUAGCGAAAUGCGAUACUUGGUGUGAAUUGCAGAAUCCCGUGAACCAUCGAGUCUUUGAACGCAAGUUGCGCCUGAGGCCACUCGGCCGAGGGCACGCCUGCCUGGGCGUCACGCCACCCAUCGCGCCCCCCCGCGGCAUUCCCAUGCCCCGGCGGGGAGCGGAGACUGGCCGUCCGUGCCCGAUCCCUCGGCGCGCGGUCGGCGGAAAAAGGAGGACACCGUGCGGCGAGACACGGCGUGUGGGGGUUGAGAGGCGACCCGUCGCCGAUCGUACGUCGCGCCCGCAUUCCGCCGCGCGCAGUGUCGCCCGUGGGACCAGACUCGCCCGCAGCCGCGGGCGCUCGGACCGCGACCCCAGGUCAGGCGUGGCCACCCGCUGAAUUUAAGCAU
This 737-nucleotide unclassified non-coding RNA is filed under the name Lindera glauca. RNAcentral's name for it is "partial contains small subunit ribosomal RNA, internal transcribed spacer 1, 5.8S ribosomal RNA, internal transcribed spacer 2, and large subunit ribosomal RNA". The stretch from base 303 to 458 matches the Rfam family "5.8S ribosomal RNA". Lineage: Eukaryota; Viridiplantae; Streptophyta; Magnoliopsida; Laurales; Lauraceae. The record is from RNAcentral.